UCCCAGCCGCCACUUCCCCUCCUCAGUUCCUCUCUCUCACUCCCUGUCCGGCGCCGCAGGGCCUCAUUCUCCAAUCUCCAUUUCCGCCUUCUCGGCACUCCGCCGCCAGAUGCCAGCCGCCAAAUCCCUAGAAAAUCGCCUAUUUCAAUCCUCAGUCAUCUCUCAAGUUGGCAUUAUCAUCGGCAAGCUAAGCCCUAAUUAUGCGAGGUUUUGUGUACGAUCUGAUCCCAACUCCUCUCACUGACGGUGGAUCUCCCACUUGGGCUCUCAAAUCAGAACCUGCUACCAGAGAGGACAAGAAGAAUCCAGAGGCGGGAAAUCUUCGAAUGAGUCGCCGCCUUCGAUCGGAAUUGACAGCGGAUUGGGUCGCUGAGCACGCUAGACAAGUUUCGAGAAUGUUGAUAGGUGGUAUGCAUGUGAUUGGUGUUUAUUUGUAGGCACCAGAGUCUUCGUUGAAGGCUACUUCGCCUUCAAUCAUAUCUCAGGGAACAUACACCAUACAAGGCUGGAGAUGGUACCAAUAUCGAUGGGUAAAUCUUGUUGAAUUUUUUGUUCUGACCAUGUUUUAUAGUUUGUCAUGUAAUCCAAUUUUUCUACAGAGUAUGAUUUAUUGUCUUAAUAUAUUUUGAGCUAAAAGUAUUUAGCCUGUCACCAUUCCUUCAUGUUUUUAAUGCUCUUUUUAGCUUGCUUAUUAUUUUUUAUUCUUUCAUUAUUUUUAGAGAGUUUUACCACGAUCGUAGUUGAAGUUCUAUCUGUUAUUCUUAACACUUUUUAUUUAUUUAUGUUUCCAGACAUUGUUUUUGUUUUUAAUUUCAUGCUUUUUGCAAUUUGCUCAUUAGUCUCUUACAUACCAAGGGAUCCUGCAAAUUGGUCUCUCAAUGACCAAAAUUCCAUCGUCUUUUGUUUUUUUUGAACCAGAGGGGUUUUUUUGGGGCAUAAGAUGAGGGCAUUUUUGUCAUUUAAGUUGAAGUUCUAUCUGUUAUUCUUAACACUUUUUAUUUAUUUAUGUUUCCAGACAUUGUUCUUGUUUUUAAUUUCAUGUUUUUUGUAAUUUGCUCAUUAGUCUCUUACAUCCCAAGGGAUCUUGCAAAUUGGUCUCUCAAUGACCAAAAUUCCCAUCGUCUUUUGUUUUUUUGAACCAGAGGUUUUUUUUAGGGGCAUAAGAUAAGGGCAUUUUUGUCAUUUUGGAAUCAAUUUGCAAGAAUUAGGAUUUGAGGGGCUUAUGGGGAAUUUUAAAGAUGUGAGACUAAUUUUUGGGGCUGAUAACCUAAUCUCCAAGUUGCGUAAAAGUGGUGAUAUUUAAGCCCUUACAUCAAUGCUUAAGCUCUUGAAUGCUUAAGCUCUUGAAUCAUGUCUCGGGUUCAAGUAACUUUUACAUUUAUAAUAUAAUGCACUAAAAUGCAAUCCGAAUGUACUUAAUGAAAUCAAAUGUAAAUAAUAUAUGUUUAGGAUCACUAAUUGGGCUAUAUCAGGGAUAUUUAGGACAAUGGAUUAGAGAAGUCUCCAUGAUUAGCAUCUUUAUGCAAUGCACAUACACUUUAUUUAAUUUGAAGAGGUAUGAUUUUUUUCUAGUUAUAACAUUGUAAUUAUUACAUGUAGAAUAGUAUUAAGAUAAAUUAAGAGCUAUUUGGUUGUUUUCUAUAAAAUAACAAAACUACAAUUUCCUUGUUUUUCAUGAUAUUUCUUAGAAUUGAUUUUACCUAGAUUUCUUGUGUUGGGAGUUGAUUGAGAGAAGUAAUUCAAAAGUAGUUUUUGCAAAAAUCUCUUAGUAUUCUACCCUCUUAGGACGUACUAAGAGGCAUUUGAUAGUUUUUGAUAAUAUAAGUUUUCUAGUGCUUGCAAUAUUAAAAGCUAUAACCGGUGCAACAUUUCAUAUUUAACCCUAUUACUACCGGCUUUAGACUAUGCGAAAGCAUAAAGUCAUAUAUUAAAAUCCGACUUCUACAUUAUAGAAGAUUUCUCAUGUCUAGUGAUUCCUCUUAUGGUUGGUGGAAUAGUAAUAUUUUUUUCUUGAAGUAAUUGUUUUAGCACCUCAGUUUCAAAAUAAAUAUUGCAUGUACAAGACUUUUUUUCUACUCUUAUCAGUGAUCGUGGUGAUGGUAACUCAGAAGAAAAUGAAGCUGUUGGUGCUGUUUCGGAGGAUACAUUAGAACCCGAUGAAAUGUAAGAUCUUUACAAAUGUGCGUGUGUAUAUAAACUUAUUUUUCAUAUUAUUUUUUGAUGUAAUAUUUUGUUACCAGGGAUACAGUACGCUUUCCUUCAUGUUUUUAGAGAAGAUCGUGAGCGCCUCGUACCACCAGUACAUCUAUCAGCAGCAAAAAGGGAGGCCUGCGAUCUACGCUCAGCUUGGAACAAGAUGAACGAGUGUAAGGUUGGCUGCAGAUGAUUGGGAAGUUAUAAAGACUUGUACUAAGUUGGCCACAGUUGCAAAAAACAUCUUAUGAUUGAAAGGAAGCAAUUGCACUUCGAUUUUGUCCACUGGGCCUGCCACCAAUGGAAGAAAUAUGUCGAGGGACCCUAUGCUUUGGUCAAUGGGUUGGAGAGGGCGACUCGAGUUCUUCAAGCAGAGAAUGAAAUGCUGAAAACUGAGAAAGAGGAGCUGCUUGAGAGACUUUUACCCGCCGGCGCGUGUAGCUUUGCUAAUGUAGUGAUAGGCUGGGCAUUUUUCUUGUGGCUUCAAACGAAACUAGACGUAGUAAAAUAUAGUAGUGUGACACUUUCUGUCGUUUUGUUCUGAUCUGUAAGUAUUUUGACUUACAUGAUUGCUAAGGAAGAUCUUCUGUUGUAUUGUAUUACUACAUAUUAUCAGUGUCUAUUGUAUUGUAUUACUGCAUAAAAUGUAGUAGUGUGACACUUCCUCAUUUUGUCCUGAUCUGUAUUACUACAUAUUAUGAGCUUCUAUUGUAUUGUAUUACUACUUAAAAUGUAGUAGCGUGACUCUUCCU
This is a long non-coding RNA of Asparagus officinalis (garden asparagus), 2945 nucleotides long. RefSeq lists it as uncharacterized. The transcript has 5 exons. The record is from RefSeq and is a predicted model, not a curated record. Lineage: Eukaryota; Viridiplantae; Streptophyta; Magnoliopsida; Asparagales; Asparagaceae.